GAUGAACGCUAGCUACAGGCUUAACACAUGCAAGUCGAGGGGUAACAAGAGAAAAGCUUGCUUUUCUUGUUGACGACCGGCGCACGGGUGAGUAGCGCGUAUCCAACCUGCCUAUAACUAGGGAAUAACCUUGCGAAAGUAAGACUAAUACCCUAUGAUUUCCUUUGAUGACAUCAGAUUAGGAAUAAAGAUUUAUCGGUUAUAGAUGGGGAUGCGUCUGAUUAGCUUGUUGGCGGGGUAACGGCCCACCAAGGCAACGAUCAGUAGGGGUUCUGAGAGGAAGGUCCCCCACAUUGGAACUGAGGCACGGUCCAAACUCCUACGGGAGGCAGCAGUGAGGAAUAUUGGUCAAUGGGCGGAAGCCUGAACCAGCCAAGUAGCGUGCAGGAUGACGGCCCUAUGGGUUGUAAACUGCUUUUAUACAGGAAUAAAGUUAGCCACGUGUGGUUAUUUGUAGGUACUGUAUGAAUAAGGACCGGCUAAUUCCGUGCCAGCCGCCGCAGUAA
RNAcentral lists this ribosomal RNA (506 nucleotides) under uncultured bacterium. Its description in RNAcentral is "partial 16S ribosomal RNA". It matches the Rfam family "Bacterial small subunit ribosomal RNA", at positions 28 to 523 of the family's 1533-position model. The record is from RNAcentral.